Molecule: ribosomal RNA, 776 nt
Filed under: Microbacterium aurantiacum
Lineage: Bacteria; Bacillati; Actinomycetota; Actinomycetes; Micrococcales; Microbacteriaceae
Description: partial 16S ribosomal RNA
Rfam family: Bacterial small subunit ribosomal RNA
Source: RNAcentral
GCUUAACACAUGCAAGUCGAACGGUGAAGCCAAGCUUGCUUGGUGGAUCAGUGGCGAACGGGUGAGUAACACGUGAGCAACCUGCCCUGGACUCUGGGAUAAGCGCUGGAAACGGUGUCUAAUACUGGAUAUGAGCUCUCAUCGCAUGGUGGGGGUUGGAAAGAUUUUUCGGUCUGGGAUGGGCUCGCGGCCUAUCAGCUUGUUGGUGAGGUAAUGGCUCACCAAGGCGUCGACGGGUAGCCGGCCUGAGAGGGUGACCGGCCACACUGGGACUGAGACACGGCCCAGACUCCUACGGGAGGCAGCAGUGGGGAAUAUUGCACAAUGGGCGGAAGCCUGAUGCAGCAACGCCGCGUGAGGGAUGACGGCCUUCGGGUUGUAAACCUCUUUUAGCAGGGAAGAAGCGAGAGUGACGGUACCUGCAGAAAAAGCGCCGGCUAACUACGUGCCAGCAGCCGCGGUAAUACGUAGGGCGCAAGCGUUAUCCGGAAUUAUUGGGCGUAAAGAGCUCGUAGGCGGUUUGUCGCGUCUGCUGUGAAAUCCCGAGGCUCAACCUCGGGCCUGCAGUGGGUACGGGCAGACUAGAGUGCGGUAGGGGAGAUUGGAAUUCCUGGUGUAGCGGUGGAAUGCGCAGAUAUCAGGAGGAACACCGAUGGCGAAGGCAGAUCUCUGGGCCGUAACUGACGCUGAGGAGCGAAAGGGUGGGGAGCAAACAGGCUUAGAUACCCUGGUAGUCCACCCCGUAAACGUUGGGAACUAGUUGUGGGGACCAUUCC